GCGGGCUGCUUCCACCAUGGGCUGGACUCCUCUUCUCCUUCUGUUCCUCUCUUACUGCUCAGCAUGGUCUGUGUUUGCAGUUUCCUUCUCUCAGGAUCUGGUAACUCAGGAACCUUCACUGUCUGCAUCUCCUGGAGCAGCUGCCAGACUUACUUGUACCUUGAGAAGUGACAUCAGUGUUGGGGGAAAAAACUUGUACUGGUACCAGCAGAAGCCAGGGAGCCCUCCCAGGUUUCUCCUAUACUACUACUCAGACUCAGAUAAGCAACUGGGUUCUGGCUUCCCCAACCGCUUCUCUGGUUCAAAAGACACUUCAGCCAAUGCAGGCAUUUUGCAUAUUUCUGGGCUGCAGCCUGAGGAUGAGGCUGACUAUUACUGUAGCAUCUGGCACAGCACUGCUUAUCACAGUGACACCCGUGGAUGGAGAAGUGGCACAAAAACUGUAAUGUGCUCUGUGAACUAG
Molecule: non-coding RNA, 463 nt
Organism: Cavia porcellus (domestic guinea pig)
Lineage: Eukaryota; Metazoa; Chordata; Mammalia; Rodentia; Caviidae
Source: the annotation of a RefSeq genome assembly